UACGGGGGGAGCAAGCGUUGUUCGGAUUUACUGGGCGUAAAGGGCGCGUAGGCGGCCACGCCACGUCAGUUGUGAAAUCUCUGGGCUUAACUCAGAACGGUCAACUGAUACUGUCGGGCUAGAGUGCAGAAGGGGCAACUGGAAUUCUCGGUGUAGCGGUGAAAUGCGUAGAUAUCGAGAGGAACACCUGCGGCGAAGGCGGGUUGCUGGGCUGACACUGACGCUGAGGCGCGAAAGCUAGGGGAGCAAACGGG
Molecule: ribosomal RNA, 254 nt
Filed under: uncultured bacterium
Lineage: Bacteria
Description: partial 16S ribosomal RNA
Rfam family: Bacterial small subunit ribosomal RNA
Source: RNAcentral